This 100-nucleotide small nuclear RNA is filed under the name Ursus americanus (American black bear). Lineage: Eukaryota; Metazoa; Chordata; Mammalia; Carnivora; Ursidae. The record is from RNAcentral.
GUUCAGCAGUACAUGUCCUGAAAUUUGAGUGACACAGAGAAGACUGUCAUGGUCCCUCUGCAAGGAUAACAUGGACAUUUGUCAAGUGUUUCACAUUGUA